This 253-nucleotide ribosomal RNA is filed under the name uncultured bacterium. Its description in RNAcentral is "partial 16S ribosomal RNA". It matches the Rfam family "Bacterial small subunit ribosomal RNA", at positions 524 to 776 of the family's 1533-position model. The record is from RNAcentral.
UACGUAGGUGGCAAGCGUUGUCCGGAUUUACUGGGCGUAAAGAGCGCGCAGGCGGUCGUUCAAGUCGCGUGUGAAAGCCCCCGGCUCAACUGGGGAGGGUCACGCGAUACUGAUCGACUCGAAGGCAGGAGAGGGUAGUGGAAUUCCCGGUGUAGUGGUGAAAUGCGUAGAUAUCUGGAGGAACACCGGUGGCGAAGGCGGCAUCCUGGACCGACACUGACGCUGAGGAGCGAAAGCCAGGGGAGCAAACGGG